Molecule: long non-coding RNA, 2460 nt
Filed under: Triticum aestivum (bread wheat)
Lineage: Eukaryota; Viridiplantae; Streptophyta; Magnoliopsida; Poales; Poaceae
Description: long non-coding RNA (TAES_LNC026893)
Source: RNAcentral
UCAUAUUGUUAAAAAAUAUGCCACUUGUAUUUUCAGGAGGUCAUAGGCCAAUAUAUAUAUAUAUGGUGUAACCUUUCAUGUAACUAGGUUGCGUGAGGCAGAAUUGAUGGCCGAAUGUUUGCCAGGCAGAUGAAAAGUAAAAAAAAACUUUACACGUAGGUAGAUCGAGCGACCCAAAAUCGCUAGCGGUCGCAGUUGCCUCGGUUAUGCGGGUACUCUAGAAGGGUUUAUAUGUUUGAUUGAGCACCUAAUAUCCUCCACAAUGGCCAAACUAUCAGCGCCAUCAUCCGCUUUAUGAGCUGAUAACAAGCAUGCAGACUCACUCACCCAUUACCCAUCAGGUGACCCAGUGACGAAAACUGCAUGCAAGAAGAAACUAAUGCUAAGAAACCUUUAAUAAAUUCAAACAUGAUAACGAAAAACAAUGAAAAAUUGCACCAUCAACUUCUCACUCAAAUGAAAAUAAAUAAAUACAUUAACUGGGGAUGUACUAAGUGAUAAUAUCAAGGCAAUACAUGAUGUUAGUUUCAUACAGAUCAUACAUCCCGCACUCUACUGUACAAUACAAUAUAUAAAAUAUACGAACUUGUUAUACUUCUUUGUCCACCAGUACAACAUAAAAGAUGGCUUAUAUCGACGACAUUAGCAAGCUACAAAGAUUUUCAAUUAUCAAACUUGAUUGUGUGAAUGAUUUCGUUUAUGCCAGUUCUGGUCGAUCUUGGUCAUGAAACAGUCAUGUCUGAUAUGCCUUGUGUCGCGCAUGUAUAGUUCAUCAAGGAUGUAAUGGCGAUCUCGAAAAGACAACUAAAAUGAGAAAGGUAUGAAGCCUUAGGAUGUAAGGGAGGUAGGCAGAGAAAGCGAUAACUUAAUAACAUUUUUUCAAAAAUACAUUUUGCAACAAAAUAAACCCAAACAGGGACCAUAAGCUAUGGCCUGGUCCUCGGGGGAUUGUCGAGAUUCACCAUAUAACUAUGAUAAUUAAUUUAACACAUUAUGAAGGCAAGAAAUGAUCCUAGCCUUACAGAAUAUCAUAGCACGCACAUUUGAUAGAGGAUACAGAAAGCUAUAAGCCGUCAGCCAACCACGCUACCACAUAAACCAUGAGAAAUGUUGAAAAAAGACCAAGUUAGACAUAUGGAUGCAAAAGCAUCAAAGAGGGAAAUGGGUAAAAAUUCACCGGAGGGCAGUCAAUGGAACAAUGAGUAGAUCCUACUUACGCGCCACUGAAACCCAUGACAUAUUAGGACCAGUGCUUCACCACGCAGUUAUUGCAGAUGCAUGCCAACCAACGAACUAACAUGACCACAACUUUUCCCCAGAAGGGAAACAAUGAAGAAGCUUAUUUGCGUAAGCCUAGUUAAUUUGGUAUCUGCGCAAAACAACAAGAAGACGCACUUUCUUCAGGUAUGAUUUCACAAAUUAGAAUGUCAGCCACUAACUGAAGUAAGACCAAGCAUUUAUGUGCUCUGACUAUCAUAACAGCUAGAAAAUAAUAACUAACUAUAUUUACCAAUAUGUACAAUGCUCCAGAUUAGCUAGGGAGACAAACCCAAGGGAAAGAGGAUGUGCACCUGAAACCUGCUGAAGUUUGCUUUGGUCUCCAUCUCAUAGGCCAGCCCAGAAACAGAAUUAGCAAACCUAUGUGCCUCCCCUCAUAUUAAGCUAUCCACCUAAAGUUGACAAGCACGUACAAAGGCGAAAUUUACAUCAGCCAUAAAUCAUAGGUUCUAGGCAAAGAAAUAUAAUUUCUACAUAAAAAACCAGUGGUAUCAAAUUCAGGUUGGUAGUGCAAAAAAAUUUUAGAUCAUCGGAAAAUAAGUACCAAAAUAUUGCUCCCUUUAAGAUACUACAAGCAAAGCACUACAGUUUUGAAUAUGACAACACAAAACUUCAGUCAAAGGCAAUAAUGCCCAGAAACACACACUUUUGCAUUACGUUUCAUACACCAUUUUCAUCAUCUCCCUUCAAGAACUCCCAAUGCCUUCAAGGAUAAAAGGAGCCAUCAUGUAAGCACGUCGAAGAUACUACAUUAAACUCGGCCAAAAAAACGAAGAAAUUGAUUAAGCGAAUCGUCAUGCACAGGCUCUGAAUAUAGGAUAUGCAAGCCCACAAGCUGGCUCGAGCUGGAAAUAUAAAAACCUGAGAGGCUGAGGGAUGUCGAAAGCAUGAUCAUCAAGAAUCAUAAUGGCAUGGUGCAGAUUUAGUUUUCUAAAAAAAGCCAUGACCAUAGUAGACUCCUGCAAAUUACUAAGAAGCCGUCGAUGCUCUCUGUAGCCUCCUCCUAUGAAACAUCAUCCACGGGCCACUAUACUAUAGAACAGGAAACAAAUUACUAUCAGAUUAAAACUAAUUUUCAGAGCGAGGAGUACUCACCAAGGGGAGAAAGGAGUGGAGUGCAGCCAGUCACAACACGCGUAGGCCACCGGAUGGGAAAGGCCACUCCAUUUUGCUCAAUCUGCU